UCAGGUCUGAGUCCAACAUGUCCCGGCCGGCCACCCAGCACCGUUCCUCUGAUCCAUAGCCCUCCCAGUCCACCAGGUAUUGGAGGAGUCCACCCCAGCGAUGGGAAUCCAACAGUGCUCUGACUGCACAGGCGGGCACCCCUCCAUCCUGUAGGGGAAGUGGAGGUGGUGAAUCCAGCUGUGGUUGGCGUAGGGACACCGCGUAGGGCUUGAGGAAUGAUGCGUGGAACGUCGAGUGGAUUCUAAGGUGUUGGGGAAGCCGGUAGGAGACCGGUGUGAUGCAGCGGAUAACCUUGAAGGGACUGAUGUAUCGGGGGCUGAGCUUCUUAGACAUGUACAUCCCCUGGAGACCUCUGGUGGACAGUCAGACUCUCUAACCGGGCGAGAAGGAGAACAGACGCCUUCGGCUAUCCACCUACCGUUUCAUUUGGGCCUGGCUCUGAAGGAGGUGUCGUUGUACGGUCUGGCACACCUUUGCGCUGGCCCUGUACCAGUCGUCCACAGCUGGAACAUCGCUGGAGCCGGGCUGCCAGGGAAACAACGGGGGUCGGUAGCACAUCGUACACUGGAACAAAGAACAGCCUGUUGAAACAUGCGUCAAGGAGUUAUGUGCAUAUUCUGCCCAAGGCUUGCCAUCUGGUGCCCCUUCCCAAGCUUCCAACUGCCAUGGAGAGCGCUGAAGUUCUCUUCCUCCACGUGUUUCGUCUCUUUGGUCUGCCCGAAGACAUUGUGUCCGACAGGGGUCCCCAGUUCACGUCCCGGUUGUGGAAGGCGUUCUGGAAGAAACUAGGCGUGUCCGACAGUGGUGCCCUGGCAUACGCCAUGCGGGCCUUGUUGGAUUCCGCCGACGUCGGGGAGUCCUGCAGUACCUCAUUGACUGGGAAGGCUACGGGCCGGAAGAGUGCUGUUGGGUGGCUGCUAUGGACAUCUUGGACCCGGACCUGAUCGCAGCUUUUCACAGACACCAUCCUGACCAUCCAACGCCCAGGCCUAGGGGGUGUCCCCCGGCUCGCCGUUGAGCGGCAAGAGCCGCUCGUGGAGUGGGGGGGUACUGUCACGCCCACGAACUCGGGGACAAGC
Scleropages formosus (Asian bonytongue) is the source of this 1080-nucleotide long non-coding RNA. RefSeq lists it as uncharacterized. The transcript has 3 exons. Lineage: Eukaryota; Metazoa; Chordata; Actinopteri; Osteoglossiformes; Osteoglossidae. The record is from RefSeq and is a predicted model, not a curated record.